CAGAAAAUAGUUUAAUAUAGAAUUCUAGCUUUGGGGGCUAGGGGUAGGAAUUUGAGUUUCCUUUUUCUGA
RNAcentral lists this transfer RNA (70 nucleotides) under Cynoglossus sinicus. RNAcentral describes it as "tRNA-Pro". Lineage: Eukaryota; Metazoa; Chordata; Actinopteri; Pleuronectiformes; Cynoglossidae. The record is from RNAcentral.